This 161-nucleotide non-coding RNA is filed under the name Evansella caseinilytica. The record is from RNAcentral. Lineage: Bacteria; Bacillati; Bacillota; Bacilli; Caryophanales; Bacillaceae.
UCCUUCGCGAGGUGGAAUCUGAAGGAAGCCGGAGGCAAAAUCCCGAACUGACGAACAGAAACUGUAUAUAAGGCUGAAUCGGAACGGAUAAGUUUGCACACAAAACAAAACCCAAUACUGCCCGAUGCUUUCGCUGGUUUGAUCGUUACGGUGCUGUCGUU